This 689-nucleotide ribosomal RNA is filed under the name Acinetobacter baumannii. Its description in RNAcentral is "partial 23S ribosomal RNA". It matches the Rfam family "Bacterial large subunit ribosomal RNA", at positions 1137 to 1845 of the family's 2925-position model. Lineage: Bacteria; Pseudomonadati; Pseudomonadota; Gammaproteobacteria; Moraxellales; Moraxellaceae. The record is from RNAcentral.
AUAGCUCACUAGUCAAGAGAUCCUGCGCCGAAGAUGUCCGGGGCUCAAACUUACCACCGAAGCUAUGGGUGUACACUAUGUGUACGCGGUAGAGGAGCUUUCUGUAUGGGUUGAAGUCGUACCGUAAGGAGCGGUGGACUGUACAGAAGUGAGAAUGCUGGCAUAAGUAGCGAGAAAUAAGUGAGAAUCUUAUUGGCCGAAAACCUAAGGUUUCCUGGGGAAGGUUCGUCCGCCCAGGGUUAGUCGGGACCUAAGCCGAGGCCGAAAGGCGUAGGUGAUGGACAAUCGGUUGAUAUUCCGAUACCGCCUAUUUACGUUUGAGAAAUGGGGUGACGCAGUAGGAUAAGAUGUGCGCACUAUUGGAUGUGCGUCUAAGCAUUUAGGCAUGCUUGAUAGGUAAAUCCGUCGAGCUAAGCUGAGGUGUGAUGGGGAGCCAUUUAUGGCGAAGUAUCUGAUUCCACACUGCCAAGAAAAGCCUCUAUCGAGUGAAUAGGUGCCCGUACCGCAAACCGACACAGGUAGGUGAGGAGAGAAUCCUAAGGCCAUCGGAAGAAUUGCUGUUAAGGAACUCGGCAAAUUGACCCCGUAACUUCGGGAGAAGGGGUGCCUACGAAAGUAGGCCGCAGAGAAUAGGCCCAAGCAACUGUUUAGCAAAAACACAGGUCUCUGCUAAAGCGAAAGCUGAUGUA